AGGUUAACACCUGAAGAAAACUGAAUCGUCAAGCUUGCCCCGGAUCCGGCUGACGGAACCAGGAAUACCGCAACGACAGUGACUCGUUUUGAGCGGAGAAGCUGUCGAAACUCACGUCACGGACGUAUUGACUAGGAAAUCCGACGUAGGAGGAGUCGGAGGCGAGCGAUGAGAGGGUGAGCCAGUAAACCGGGACUCGACCUCGCUCCGCAUCUAUGCCGCACACAUCGAACCGAAUGCUGCACGGCUGUGUGCAUAUCGGUGUGCAAUACAUCGAGCAGCGGCAAACUCGCAGUGCGAGCGAGCGAGAGAGAAAGAGAGAGAGAGAGAAGAAGGAUGACGGCGGAGGAUGAGGAUGAGGUUGGAGGAGGUUGAGGGUGGAGGAGGCCCUCCAACCUCGUUUUCGCUUUCGUUCGGCCGCUAGCUCACGUGGCACAUAUUCACAUAUUCAUCUCUACGCCCCUGCCUUCAUCCCCUUGGCGGAUACACACGGAAACGUAGCACGUGAGUCGAUGUUCGUACGCGUACGUGUGUGUACAUGUGAAACGCACACGACCGAGGAACGUGACGGUAUUUCACGUGGAUGCGAGAGAGGCUCAGCUGUGCCGUGACGUAUAAUCCCCGACGUGGCCCUAGCGAAACUUAUUCGGCCACGUGCUUUCGAAACUUGGAGCCGACGCGCGGCGUGUGCGUACGCACGGACCACCGGGUUCCCACGCGAUCCCGCUCGCUACCCGUCGCGAAAUCGGGAUGCACCGUUGACCUUGCGGCUAUUGCCGCACCGCACGAUCUACGAUUUACGAGGCCGCCGCUGCGCACCGAAAUAGUUGGCGGUAUUACCGUUUUCAAUGGGUCGAGGUAUCGCAUGGGCUUUAAGAACGAACAUCGAACAGGUGCGGCGCUUGUGGAUUUUUACGUGUCCAAGAACAGCGCUGCGAAUUUUUUAGGAAAAUCAGGUAAUCUAAUAAUUAGGCAAGAAACGACAGGUACGUGCCAACAGCCGAUAAUCCUGGCUUUUCUCAACUUUCGAGAAAUAUUCCAACAGAAUGGAAAGACGCGAUUCCAUCGAAGAAGCUACGCGAUCUUGCGACGGCCGAGAUACAGAGCCAAUCUGCAACGUGCAUCCAGUGUAGGACUGUGGUGCAGGACGCAAAAUAGCCGUUUCGCGAAAAUCCCCGAAGCGUGUCAUUCGAGCUUUAGGGAACCUGUUGCUCACCUCUGCCUGCAUCGUCUCUCACCUACCACCCUACUUUCCUUUUACACUACCCAGCCCUGUCUUCGGUUCUGUACACCAGCGAUCGCGUGUACGUGUGUACAAGCAGCGACAACAACCACUUUGCGAGUACUCCGAGAUCCGACCCAGAAGUGAAAGCAAGGAAGGAGGAAAGACGGAACGCACGCCACUGUCUUAUGGUAAAGUUCGCGGGUUGCACCAAGGGUCCAACGGGGAUUAAGUGGCGGGGCGCCACUUGUCAGGCUGGCCGUAUCUACAUCUGUUCCCUGUCUAUUGUCUAGAUUUAUUCUGUUACAUCGGGUGCGUGGAAAAGUUUCAGUCUUUUCUUUUCUUCAGCAAUUUCCUUCUACUUGUACAGAGUAGACGCAAUGGUCCUAAUGCCGUGCCCAUUUCGCACGGCUUCUCGCCAGCCAGAAAUGCCAUUGCCACGUUCUCUGCUGUCCGACUAAACUGCGAAUUUUAAUCCUUCGAAAUGCAUCCACGUCGUUCGUUCAGACAUGGGAAGAGACGAAGUUUGGCGGAAUUAAGAUGAACAUGGAAAAAUGGUAGAAUGCUUCGCACUAAUUGCUGAUCUGAAACGCUCAUAGAGGAACAGACGAUAGCAGCGGAAAGUAAAAGCGAAUAACUCAAAGCUCGCGAUAAAUCGGUGCACGCGCUCUUUAUAUUGAGAAAUAUGCAAAAUAUCGCGAAUAAACCUUCGUUCACAGACCUGAGAAGAGACGGUUUGGCAGAAGUUGAAAAGUGGGAAGAUAUUUUGUAUUAAUUGCGGGCCUAAUUAAAGUCAUAGAAAUGCGGAUAUUAUCUGCUGCUAACUACUACAUAGGAAAAGGCUGGAAUCGUGGAAAAGAUCGGCACACGACGCUCUUGGUGUUAAAGAAUAUCCAAAAUAUUGCGAGUCUCGGUCUUUCGAAGUUGUUCAUUCAGUGCUAUUUGGAAGAAAACGUAUAAAGUAGCCAAGAUGGAGAUAACUUUUGUCUGGUUUGCGAGAAAUACGGAGGCGAAGAUGGUUUUAAUGCGGAUAGAGCGAAAUAAAGAUUUCAUCGGGGCGCACUCGGCUGGCGGAAAAAGAAGGAGAGCGGAUAAUUCAGGGAAAUCAGGCUGUGGCAAAAUGUUAACCGGGCCAAACACAAACGGUGCUCGUCCCAGUAGUACUUCUUUUCAGCCGCAAAUGCCGAGUACCAUGUAGACGUUGACAAUAGAAGCGGGCGCACAAAGGCCAGCAGUUCAACUAGAAAACUUCUUUCAUCCUCCUCGAAAUCAGCGAGCGUUGAAUCGCAAAUCGUCGCAUUAAGACGAGCCGCGACAUUUCCACGAGAGCAAUCUCAGCGUACCACGCGCCGUGUGAAGAGUUCAAUUUGUGCCAGGGGCAAAGAUCCGAUUCACCUCGACUCGUCGUCUACCAUCGAACUAGCGUGUACAUUUUCAAAGAGCGAACGCAGGGGGAAUUAAAGAGACCGAUUCAUUCAUCUGCAGCUUGGAAAUUGCUUAUCAGAAAAUGGAUUUCAAUUACGAAAGAAUAUCAGGAAACAACCAAGUUACAGGAAAAUCGAUGCUUAUUCGAAUUCAGCCCACUCGAGUUUGACCAACCUAACUUCAAAAGAACGUUUAAUAGAAGAUACGAAGAAGAAAAAAGAAAGAAAGAAGGGGAAACGUAGGAACGCGCGCGUGUGUGUAUCGUACGAAAAAAGGUGGAAAACAAUAUCGGAAAGUGGAAAUAACAUUGCGUUACAGAGCGACCUUGUCCUUUUCAAAGCAACCGAUGGUCCAAUGUAUAUCAACUUGGAGCUUGAAAGCCAAAUAAAAUAAGAAACUCGCGUUAGAAAAGUAGAUCGGUCACAGGUCGGAUGAUUCUGCUAUUUGGCAUAAACUUUCUCCUUCUUUUUCCAGUGACAACGAUGCUACGCGUUCGGCUGCCAAUCGUUCAACUGAAUCGAGCCCGAAUAUUCCAUCGGAAUAUUUCCACGAAGACAAUGUGGCCUGAAAGUUUCAGUUCUCGUUCUUCCCCGAAGAAGUAGACCGCAGUGUCUACGAAACUUGGGGUCAAAAUGCAGAAGCAGAACCGGGAGAUCAAAAAUCAAAAUAUCUCAACAUCGUGGCAGUUGGAAGUGGAAAAUUCAGUAUGCCAUCGAAAAGUGCAACUUUAAAUUUCCCAUGCAGGCGGCGGAGCCUGAAAAUCCUCGGAAUUCGGACCUGUCCUGAAUCGGUGGAAGUAGACCGCAGUGCGUACGAUGCCUUGACGCAAAAUGCAAAAGCGAGACGAGAUCGUUGGUCCCGAGAAGUCGAUAAUAUCAAGACAAACCGAACAGAGUUAGAAAAUAUCGCACGGCCCAUCCUGCGGCUGACGUUUCCACCGAAAAAGCGGGGUCGGGCGAUGGCCGGAAGAGGGGUCACCGUAGCAAUGACAAGGCAACGAGCGACCUUGGGAGCCUUCCCACGGACACGGCUAACCAGUACGGCGAGCGUGCAGGGGGGAACGAACGCAAACAACGAAGCAACACGGCAGCGUGAGCACAGUCGUCACCGGCGGUAACCUACAUUUACCAUGGAAGAGAGGAGAGCAAGCGAGCCGCUUCUACGUGUACGUGCACGAGCAACAGCCCGAAGGCGGUCGAGGGACCAUUUGCUGCGGCAUCCACUUGCGCGGUUAUGAAUGGAGAAACUUCUGGUCUCGUGGGCUCGCGUAAACGUUAACACGCCGUCCGUACACGCGAGGGUCGGCCCGCCACGAAGAAAGGGCUCCGGUUUAUAUUCUCUGCGAGGCUCGUGCAACUGCGAGAUCCGCCAGGCCAAAGGAACGGAAACUGAAGAAGGAUACAACGAACAGAGGGAAGGUGAAUGCGAGCGGCGAGGACCGCAAGAUCAGCGGCCAUCCGCAGCGCGCUGCUGUUGUACGCCAAGCAUAGCUCGGCUUCUCGCUCGCUCUCGCGUCUUCUCUUCGUCUUACCCUCUGCCCAUUCCGCAAGCGUUUAUCCGACGUGUACAUAAAUAUCCGGUCGACUACUCUGUGUACACGAAGAAGAGCGAACGAACGGCGAUCCCGGCCGUCUUCCCUCGUGGCAGGGCCUCGUGUACGUGCAUAAGUUCUUGCGGAUGAGAGAGCCGGGCUGGCGAGAGUGGCCGGUAGCUGCGAGAGUACACGCCGCCAAGCAGCGGCGAAGAGGGGAAAGAGGCAGACAGAUGAGGAACGUGUACACGUACAUGAAAACCACCAACACGCAGAACAAUGGAGUAAGCAACAGAUACUGCUUGCUCCACGAACUACGUAUGAGCCACCCUAUAGAAGAUCGAAUUGGCAGAGAACUAGAGAGAUGGAUGGAGGAGAAGGUUCGCAUGGACGUAUCGUAGUACGGCAUAAAGAUGAUAGAACCGAAUACCGAGCGCAUACCAGCAGUUUGACGUCUGUCUGCCAGCAUAACCAUCACGAAAUUCCGCCUGGUGUUCUUGACCUAUUAGCUGCAGGGUUGCAACCUGACCGUUUCACUUUCUCUGCUUGCGCAGCACUGAAUGGAAAAUUCGAGACCGAACUGUGAAUGAGAAGAAUACGGUUCCUACAGCGACGAUAAUGCAACAGCCGUGAUCAGCUGGUGACGAACGAAAGCAACGGCGAAGGAUCUGGCUGGCGCGCAGGACGUUCACACGUUCGAUGCGAAUUCGCGAAACUUCGAUUUAAAAAUAGCAAAGCAACUUUCACCGAGCAUCGGCACGCACGGCAUGAUAACAUGUUAUGACGACACGGCGUGUUUACCCGGCGCUCGCUCAACGCCAAUGUAACGAUAUAAGCCAUUCGUUCUGUUCCUGAAGGCAUUACGCGCCGCUAUAGGCGUCGUAAUAUCGUUGUUUGCGGAUUGACCGCGUUUUACCAUUCGGCUAAUUAAUUCCAUUAACUCGCUGCGGGGUGGAAUAAAAGCGCGCGUAUCGGCGCCCGGCAACGGAAUUGUAACGCGGCCACGCGCACCACACUAUUCCGUGUGUAUCGAAUUAAUGAAGUUGGUAAUCAGCGUUGCCAGAUUCUGACUUUCGUACGCCGAUGGGGACGAGGCGGGAGGAGGUGCCUCGCCCUCCCUCCUCCGGCGUUCUCGCCCGACAAAAGUUAAUUACUGCGGCCAGAUACAUGGGCGUGGGCGUGAUUAAUUAUCGCGGCGGAGCGACGAACUCGCACCUUUGCCGGCAUACGCAGAAAUUUAUGGAACAUGUGCUUUGCGCUGUUUGGGAAAUAAUACCUGGUUUAAUUACGAGACCGGUGUGCACGCGCGUCUGCAAUUAUGGGGAAAUAAAAUGACGAUAACGAACGAGCAGAUCAUUACAAUAGACGUACGUCGAUGCGACGCGAUUCCGCUACCAAUAUCCCGCUUUUCCUUUUCUCUUCUGUUUCCUCUUUUUGCCUAUCGUUGCUUCCUUUUUUCGGCCACAUUUGUACGCGUCUGUGGAUAGCACAGGCGCGCGUUGAAGCGGAUCGAGAGCAAGCAAUAACGUCGCGGCGAACGAUUAACGUUAUUCUCACGUGGUCAAUGUUUCGUCUAUGGAAUUCGCGAUAAUUGCAUUAAUCGUGGUAAUUAAUAGGGCGACACGUCCCGCAGCUUCGAUAUCGUCUGAUAAUCGACACCCUGUCACCGUGGCGAUAAGCGAGCAGCGACCCGACCAACGCUCUUCGACUUAAGGAGCAAGCAGCGAGACGAUGCGCGUUGUUGCGUAUCGAAGGAACGUACAUCGACGAACUGCAAACAAAUCGACUGCGAAUAGUGACGAAAGGUGGAGCUGUUUGAGUUUCAGUGGAAUGUUUCAGCGAUCUAAGUUUCAUAUUCGGCUGUUUAGUUUGUAAUUUGUGAUGUCUAAUUGUAUGUGUCUAAAUAUGAUAUGUACAGUGAAGUGAUUGGUUUCAAAAUUUAAUUUACAAUUGUACGUUCAUUGUUACAGGUUUCUUCAAUUCGGCAAACUUUAUGUAAAUUCUUACAUCAUCCGACUAGUCGAUUUCUCGAUUUCUAUUAAUACAGGAAUUUGCAUAAAGUCGGACGAACGAAAGAAAUAGCGACGAAUGUACAGUUUUAAAUAAAACUUCCAAGCUGGUCGUUUCACCAGGUCUGAUAAGGUUUGAUUACGCAAGUUGCGAGAAAAUUUUCUAAUUUAACGAGCAUCGGAAUUAUUUUAACGUCCAAGGGAAUUAUUUUUUACGUAGUCUGUGAUAGAAAAGCAGUGUUCGAUGGUUAACUGAUUUUCGAACGUGAGAAAUUGAAUCAUCCUGUCUUUUGUCAAUAAGAAACACGUAUGGACAUUGGAGAAAAUAAAAGAUUGGAGUUGUAAUUUCUCUUCCCAACGUCGACUUCGAAGAUCGCGUAAAACGCUUGCUCCAUGCAAAUCGAUAUCUAACGUUUACUUACAAUGUGCAAUUAUUAUUAACGUAAUAAAUAGUGUAGAUAUAAGUACGUAUUGUCGCGACUUAUGAGAAGAAAUAUGCUAAUAAGUUAGCUGCUGUGUAAUUGCCUGACUAUGUUAAUGUGCGAUAUUCAGGAAACAAUAGAACUUACACAAAUUUAUUAUUAAUUUAAUAAUCUCGCGUUACAUGAAUUCCAAACGCACUAUUCCAUAAUAUUCUGCCGGAGAUAUUUUAAUAAAUAAUUCCUAUACGUAAUAAACUAUUCAGAAAAAGCCAUCGCCUACGCCAGUUUAUUAUCUCUUUGAUAAUUCCUCGUUACAUCGAUUUAAUUCGCUAGGUAUCUGACGUUUUAUCAUUUAACUGAAUUAGCACCGAAACCUGCAACAUAUUCUACAAAAGAUAUUUUAACAACUAACGAGAAGAUAUUUAAUAAUAAACCAAGCAGCAAAUGCUUCCUGUCUGACUUAACACCCGGACAAACCAUCGCCUACGUUCUAUUUCAUUUAAAAUUCUACAUUCGCAAUGUUGUUCCUUUCGUUCGUCCAACUUCACGCAGAUUCUUGUAUUGGCUUGGCAACUAAAUGAUUGCGGGUUUUGUCAUUAAGUGGUAUCGACAAAACCCGCAAUCACUUAGUUGCCAAUAUCAACAAAAGCUGAGAAACCGACUAAUUGAGUAAUAUAGGAAUUUUAUUUUUCUUUUUAUUUGGAAGAACUUUACAACCAAUUCUCAUUGAGAAUUAUAAAUAAAUUAUCCUCGAUAAUAAUAAAUAAUUAUCGUAUGUUUGAUCGUAGCUGAAUCCAAUGAUUAAAUCUAGAGGGUGUCCUUUUAGUCUGCGGAUCUGAUCCAUCGUGUUGAGUAAUUGAAUAAUUAGUAAGUUUUGGUGCUUGUUAAUUCCUACGUUAUGUCUAUUACUCAAUUUACAUAUUUCUUCUUUAACUGUGGGUAUCUCAAGGUCGCGAUGUAUCGUUUCGUUGGUAACAUAGCAAGGAGCACCUUUUAAGAAUCUUAGAGUUUUUGAUCCGAAUCGUCGAAGGAUUUCCACGUUGGAAUUAGUAGGUUUUCAUAUGGCUAAUAAUACAGCAAUUUACGUGAAGUUACAGCUACAAAAUAAAUAACGACGAACGCAGAAUUUUGGAUGAAAUUUGGAAACUGGUCGCCUGACCAGACCUGGUGACGUUGGCUACUGUUAAAUCAUGCGAGAUCGCCGAUCACUAUCCCAGAUGUUUGUAUCCGGCAUCGAACACGAUAUUACCUACACGUAGGUGUAUCGACGAUGUUCUGAAACAGCGGUGCGUUUAUGUACUCACUGGCAGACUGUAAGUACGUAGUACUGUUAUGCGUUGGCAUGCGUGACGCAACAGGAAGGUGCGAUCCGACGUGGACUUCCCUGUGCCGCGUUGGAAUUAUAUUUGGAACAUCGUAUCGUCCUGUACAUCGCCGACGUUUUAGAUAAGCAAACGCAUUCUAAAAGACAUUUUUUUCGCUGCCGUUAGCCAGGUGGCAUUCGCCCGAGGAAUGAGUUAUGCUACUUGGGGGCCAGCAUUAUUACGCGGGUAUAAUGAGCGUAAUUGUACGAAAUAUGCGCAGCAAGGGAUGGAAAACAAAUAUUAAGUUACAUAUUUAGAAAGUUCGUAGCGUGUCUAAGGUAGCGGAUAUUAAAUUCUCCUUUAUGUUUCACUACGAUAGAAGAGCAUCGUUUAUUAGGAUAUUUUAUCAGACAGAGGAACGCAAGAUGCCCGAAUGGGUCGUUUUUCUCAUUGAAAGAUAAAUAUUCAGCAAGCAAACGUUCGAUAUGGAAGAGAAAUUGUCAAGAGACAGAGAAAAGAGAAUCUUUUGGUUUUUUUUUUUUUUUUUUUUUUUAAUAAACGUUGAACCUCGACUGGAAUAUUCUUCUAUUCGCAAGAUUGUCGUUUAUUCUGGUUGUUGUGAAUUUUGUUCGUGCCACGCAAUCGAAUACGUUAGAAAUCUGUGGCGAAUGUGUUCCUAUUAAAAAAUGGAGAAAAGAUUUCCGGCAGAAUGACGAGGCUAUUCAACGGAAGAAUGAAAUGCUAAUCCCACGAACGUGCGUUGCUUCUGAAUUUUCCUUCGAUCUCGCUUUCAACUUCCCGAUCAACCCGAUGUAUUAAUUUAAUUUAUCGAUUCACUUGCCUUAUCGAUCUUCAGGAAACGUCUUUCCAAAUUUAUACAACGAACUUCGCGAAAGAAUUCUAAGAAAUGUUUCUAGUUUUUCCUAGAAACCUACACAAAAGGGAAGAAAGGAAUUUUUCUAUUAACAUCAAAAAUAUUUCCAAUCUUUGACUUAAUAAAUAAUUGUAAAACAUAGACAACGAGCAUUGCAGAAUUUGCUCAGAUUUUUUGAAGACUCGGAACAUCGACGAAGCUAAUAUUGAACGUAAAUAAUCCAACGAGAAUGGUUUCGAAAAUUUCUAGCAUAUACUGGGUGUUACUAAUAUACGGAACAAACCGCAAAUGUAAGUUUGGGAAACACAGCAUAGCUGAACGUAUAAACGAUGAAUAUCGAUGUUGCAAUUAUUUUAUUAAUUUCGUAUAUCAACUUUGCGUCUUCGAAGCACCGAGAUUAGAAAUUGUUUUAUCCAAAACAAUAUUUAAUAUACAGGGUGGUUGGUAACUGGUGGUACAAGCGGAAAGGGGGUGAAUUCUACGUGAAAAAAGAUGUCGAAAAUAUAGAAUAAAAAUUUGAAAAUAUAAAACCUUUAAAAAUUAGAAAAAUAACGUUAAUCGAGACAACGAUCUACAGUGAGAUCCGUUACAACGAGACGCGAUAAAGUGCAGGCGUACCGAGCGUAAAUUCAAAGUCGAUUUUCUCGAAAACAAAGCCUCGAACGAAAAAUUGUUAUUCUAUAUUUUCGACGUCUUUUUUCGCGUAGAAUCACCCCCUUUCCGCUUGUACCACCAGUUACCAACCACCCUAUAUAUACAUAUAAUAAUAGAAUAUAAAAUAUAAAUAAUAAUACACAUAAUAAAAUGCAAUUUUACAAAACGCAUCACGAGAAGCUUCCAAGACAAAUGUAUCAACAUUACGCGUUAUCCUGAUCGUCGUUAUAAUCUUACGCUUGCAGAGCGACAGAAGAUGAUUUAAAUGAUCGAUCCUUUCGCAUGGUUAUUGGCGUGUAAUAGUUUCGUAGGAAAUAAAAUGUCGUUUAGUAUGCAGUUCGUAAUGAGAAAUUGUAUAAUAUGAAAUAUGGAUCGUCUAUGGUUCUAACCGUAUAAAUAUUUAUUAGUUAUGGCAGUGUUAUCACUAUGGUCACGCUUUUAACCCCGUUACGGUGCUCAACUUUACUUUGCGUGCGAAGGUGAUUCGCAUGCAUGUAAAUGUUAUCUUCGCGUUGUUCACUGCGAUGAACGGCGGGUUCUAGCGCAAAUAAAAGAAAUAUGAAUCGUAUCGAACAGCGGAUGAUAUAAUUUCGCGCGAAUAUACAAUCGAUGGAGAAAAAUGACGAGUUUCUAAAAGUCGAAGCAGAAUAGAAAAUUUGUCUACGCACUGUCUACGUACUGGUCGUAAGAUGAAACAAUUUCAUCCUCUUUAAUUAGCCGCGGUACUUAAAUAGCUAAUUAAUUAGCCGGUAAUUAAGCAUCGCAAAAGGAUAAUUUCUCUUUUAUCCGGCGAGAUCUCGUUUUAAAUGAAACUUUCCAUUGAUUCGAGUAUUCGAAAUAAACCUGUUGCUAAUCUCUCCGCGUGUCCUCGUUAACGUAAAUAAUUGAGCGUGAUAUUACACGGUAUAAUAGAUCUCCUUACCCUCAGUCGUACGUCUGCUUGCGCGUUUCAAACGCGUCGAAAUUAUCAGUCGAAUAGGGAAAUAUAUCGGCUGAUCUGCCAGCAAUGCUUUUCGCGGAAGCUCGACGAAGGUUAAACUCGUUCCCUAAAACCGUCGGAAGCGAAAAGGCAAUGAGAAGGUGAACGCUUGUCCGGCAGUCAGUGUACAACGGCGAAUCGAAGAAUUGCCAUAAAAGACACGCUGUAGAAUUCGUAGCCUGAGG
This is a long non-coding RNA of Bombus huntii, 10605 nucleotides long. RefSeq lists it as uncharacterized. NCBI's taxonomy places the organism in Eukaryota, Metazoa, Arthropoda, Insecta, Hymenoptera, Apidae. The record is from RefSeq and is a predicted model, not a curated record. The transcript is spliced from 4 exons.